GGUGAGUUGUCCGAGUGGCUGAAGGAGCACGCCUGGAAAGUGUGUAUACGGCAACGUAUCGAGAGUUCGAAUCUCUUGCUCACCGCCA
RNAcentral lists this transfer RNA (88 nucleotides) under Vibrio cholerae. Its description in RNAcentral is "tRNA-Ser". It matches the Rfam family "tRNA". From Rfam's summary of the family: Transfer RNA (tRNA) molecules are approximately 80 nucleotides in length. RNAcentral also lists the same sequence under 6 other names. Lineage: Bacteria; Pseudomonadati; Pseudomonadota; Gammaproteobacteria; Vibrionales; Vibrionaceae. The record is from RNAcentral.